Molecule: ribosomal RNA, 506 nt
Filed under: uncultured bacterium
Lineage: Bacteria
Description: partial 16S ribosomal RNA
Rfam family: Bacterial small subunit ribosomal RNA
Source: RNAcentral
GAUGAACGCUAGCUACAGGCUUAACACAUGCAAGUCGAGGGGUAACAAGAGGAAAGCUUGCUUUUCUUGUUGACGACCGGCGCACGGGUGAGUAACGCGUAUCCAACCUGCCUAUAACUAGGGAAUAACCUUGCGAAAGUAAGACUAAUACCCUAUGAUUUCCUUUGAUGACAUCAGAUUAGGAAUAAAGAUUUAUCGGUUAUAGAUGGGGAUGCGUCUGAUUAGCUUGUUGGCGGGGUAACGGCCCACCAAGGCAACGAUCAGUAGGGGUUCUGAGAGGAAGGUCCCCCACAUUGGAACUGAGACACGGUCCAAACUCCUACGGGGGGCAGCAGUGAGGAAUAUUGGUCAAUGGGCGGAAGCCUGAACCAGCCAAGUAGCGUGCAGGAUGACGGCCCUAUGGGUUGUAAACUGCUUUUAUACAGGAAUAAAGUUAGCCACGUGUGGUUAUGUGUAGGUACUGUAUGAAUAAGGACCGGCUAAUUCCGUGCCAGCCGCCGCGGUAA